This 448-nucleotide ribosomal RNA is filed under the name uncultured bacterium. Its description in RNAcentral is "bacterial SSU rRNA". It matches the Rfam family "Bacterial small subunit ribosomal RNA", at positions 328 to 793 of the family's 1533-position model. The record is from RNAcentral.
GGCCCAGACUCCUACGGGAGGCAGCAGUGGGGGAUAUUGCACAAUGGGGGAAACCCUGAUGCAGCGACGCCGCGUGGGCGAAGAAGCGCCUCGGCGCGUAAAGCCCUGUCAGCAGGGAAGAAAAUGACGGUACCUGAAGAAGAAGUCCCGGCUAACUACGUGCCAGCAGCCGCGGUAAUACGUAGGGGGCAAGCGUUAUCCGGAUUUACUGGGUGUAAAGGGGGCGCAGACGGCGAUGCAAGCCAGGAGUGAAAGCCCGGGGCCCAACCCCGGGACUGCUCUUGGAACUGCGUGGCUAGAGUGCAGGAGGGGCAGGCGGAAUUCCUGGUGUAGCGGUGAAAUGCGUAGAUAUCAGGAGGAACACCGGCGGCGAAGGCGGCCUGCUGGACCGCGACUGACGUUGAGGCUCGAAAGCGUGGGGAGCGAACAGGAUUAGAUACCCCCGUAU